UAAAGAAUACAAAAUUUAACAUGGUUUGGUAUAAACCAAACAAAUUUACUAUCAAGAAAAAAUAAUUACAAUCACUCAUUAUUUUUGUCACCCUUACAAAUCACUUAAACAAAACUCAUGAAAUUCGAGACACCUCUCCACUUCGUGAGCUCUCUUAACAAUACAAAAGUCAACCAACUAUUCGUAUAUAUAGCUACCAAAAAUCUAGUCCUUUUGAAACUCUGAACUUUCUAUUUCAUCUAAUUUCCUAAUUAAUUUUAAUUCCUAAACUUGGACUCUAACAAAAAGUGAUUUAAGAGCCAUGCUGUCAACUACUAUACAAAGAGGCCUACAACCCUCUGUGGUGUUAUUAACCCAGAUUAGAUUAUACUCAAAAUUAACUAAUAAACCAUGAUGUUUACCCCAAUCUGCAGUUACAGCUAGCAGCUGCAGUCGUGAAGUUUCAUGCUGAUGGAAUACAAAUAAUCACAUAACAUAGAUGUGAAUUGGAAAAGCAUAAUCACUUGCACAGGAGAAUAUGCUACCUUCCUUUGGACUGAGAUUCUCUUAACUUGAGGAAAAUAUUACUUGAAAGGUACACACUUAAAACGCAAAAUUAGUUAAGCAUUCGGAAAAUUUCCAGAAUUUAAAAAAAAAAACCUAAGCAGGCACCAGGCAUCCUGAUAUAAUUUCAAACGUCUAAAAAAAGCUUCUAUCAUAAAAAAAAAAG
RNAcentral lists this unclassified non-coding RNA (709 nucleotides) under Hevea brasiliensis (rubber tree). The record is from RNAcentral. Lineage: Eukaryota; Viridiplantae; Streptophyta; Magnoliopsida; Malpighiales; Euphorbiaceae.